This 497-nucleotide ribosomal RNA is filed under the name uncultured bacterium. Its description in RNAcentral is "partial 16S ribosomal RNA". It matches the Rfam family "Bacterial small subunit ribosomal RNA", at positions 28 to 507 of the family's 1533-position model. The record is from RNAcentral.
GAUGAACGCUGGCGGCGUGCCUAAUACAUGCCAGUCGAGCGAACAGACGAGGAGCUUGCUCCUUUGACGUUAGCGGCGGACGGGUGAGUAACACGUAGGUAACCUACCUAUAAGACUGGGAUAACUUCGGGAAACCGGAGCUAAUACCGGAUAAUAUUUCGAACCGCAUGGUUCGAUAGUGAAAGAUGGCUUUGCUAUCACUUAUAGAUGGACCUGCGCCGUAUUAGCUAGUUGGUAAGGUAACGGCUUACCAAGGCAACGAUACGUAGCCGACCUGAGAGGGUGAUCGGCCACACUGGAACUGAGACACGGCCCAGACUCCUACGGGAGGCAGCAGUAGGGAAUCUUCCGCAAUGGGCGAAAGCCUGACGGAGCAACGCCGCGUGAGUGAUGAAGGUCUUCGGAUCGUAAAACUCUGUUAUUAGGGAAGAACAAACGUGUAAGUAACUGUGCACGUCUUGACGGUACCUAAUCAGAAAGCCACGGCUAACUACGUG